UUGUCCAAUAAUUUUUUCAUUUCUUUUUCUUUUUUGGGAAAGUUUUUAGGGUUCUUAGCAGUUUGCAGUUUUCUAUCAUGGCCCUUGUAACGAUUCAUUUUGCAGUGAUUUUUUAUGUGGUUAAGUGGGAUUGAUUCAAGUCCCAUUCAUUAUACAGAAGCAUUCGAAACGUUAUAUAGGUAGUGUACAUAGUACCUAUAUAACGUUUCAGAAGUUUGACAGCUUGUGAAAAUAGUUCAUAUAUAUAGCAUUUUCCAAAGAAUAGUAAAAU
RNAcentral lists this unclassified non-coding RNA (271 nucleotides) under Hevea brasiliensis (rubber tree). Lineage: Eukaryota; Viridiplantae; Streptophyta; Magnoliopsida; Malpighiales; Euphorbiaceae. The record is from RNAcentral.